CACGUAGGGUGCGAGCGUUGUCCGGAAUUAUUGGGCGUAAAGAGCUCGUAGGCGGUGUGUCGCGUCGGCCGUGAAAACUUGGGGCUUAACUCUGAGCGUGCGGUCGAUACGGGCAUCACUUGAGUUCAGCAGGGGAGACUGGAAUUCCUGGUGUAGCGGUGAAAUGCGCAGAUAUCAGGAGGAACACCGGUGGCGAAGGCGGGUCUCUGGGCCGAUACUGACGCUGAGGAGCGAAAGCAUGGGGAGCGAACAGG
Molecule: ribosomal RNA, 254 nt
Filed under: uncultured bacterium
Lineage: Bacteria
Description: partial 16S ribosomal RNA
Rfam family: Bacterial small subunit ribosomal RNA
Source: RNAcentral